This 8277-nucleotide long non-coding RNA is filed under the name Gossypium barbadense (sea-island cotton). RNAcentral describes it as "long non-coding RNA (GBAR_LNC009762)". Lineage: Eukaryota; Viridiplantae; Streptophyta; Magnoliopsida; Malvales; Malvaceae. The record is from RNAcentral.
GGAGGAUGUUGUAAUGGAGCUUAUGGAGAAGAGUAAGGAUCGAAGUUACAUAGUCAAUUGGGCACCACAGGAGGCGGUCUUGAACCACCCAGCCGUUGGCGGGUUCUUUACGCAUAAUGGAUGGAACUCGACUUUGGAGAGCAUCGUCGCAGGGGUGCCUAUGAUUUGCUGGCCUUACUUUGCUGACCAACACGUGAAUAGUAGGGUUGUGAGUGAGGUGUGGAAAAUAGGGUUGGAUAUGAAGGAUGUAUGUGAUAGAAAGAUAGUGGAGAAAAUGGUAAAUGAUGUGAUGGUGGAUCGAAAGGAGGAGUUUGCAAAAUCCGCAUAUGAAAUGGCUAAGGUAACCAAUCAAUGUGUUAAUGUUGGUGGGUCUUCUUAUAGUAAUUUGGACUGUUUAGUUGAAGAUAUUAGAAUAAUGAGCUUGAAAAAACUCACAAAAUGAGCUUUGAACCACCCAGCUGUUGGCGGGUUCUCUUCAUUUUAAUUUUUUUUAUUGCAAUAUCUCUUUAAACAAAGUAAUUGAAUAGCAGUAAAACUUUUAAAAAUAUCCUUACAUGAUUGAAUAUCUUGAUCAAUAAAACUUUUAAAAAUAUCCUUACAUGAUUGAAUAUCUUGAUCAAUUACAAUCACCCAAUUUUUUUAUUAUUAACCUUAAAAAGAUGUACAACAAUAGUUACUUAAAUCCUAUCAAAAUAUGCCAAUAAAAUAGGUAAGUUACAAACAAUUCAAUUGCAAACUGAGUUGUGACUAACUGAGUAAUUAACGAAUGAUGCAAGUCCCAAGACCCAAUUUUAGACUAAUGGAUGUGAUGAGUUCACAUUACCUCAAAGCCCAACAAUAGUGUCAAAAGCCAAACAAAUCAAAUCAAAAUUCAGUCAAAAACAAUAUUUGAGGAUGAAUCUUUUCGAGAAAAGGGGAAAUGAUUUAUGUAUGGAUAGGAUGAAAUUUAUUAAACUUCAUUCACCGAUGGUGCCAACUUUCAAGUUUAGAAAAUCAACAAACUUGCAACGCCUUUUUGGAUGGGAUCCAAGCAUUUCUGGGUUAAGAUGCCUUCAUGAAGUUCAAAGUUUAUCUAACCUGGAUUUGAUUGCGUUUCAAAUUGUGUCAAAAUCCAAAUUUCUUUCCUAACGUCUAGAGUCCUAAGUCAAAUUCUCGACUUAAACAAACUUUACGAUCUACUUCCACAUUCAUCCACCUCAACCUUUAUCAAUGACACUAACAUUCUCACCCUUUGACACUAACAACUAGAGUAUUAUCUUCAUAAAAUGAGCUAACAUAAAGAAGUAGCAAGUAGCAAACAUUAUGAAUAAACAGAAUACUUAAAAGUAAUAAGCAUGCAAAAGGAGAACUCCCCUUCGAUAGUAGCAUCAAUACAUUCCCCUAAUAAACAGGAUAGAAUGGAAGCGGGCUUUUAUUUCUUUUCUUAAAAUGUGAAUGCAUGGUAAAGAAGGUUUUUUUUUUGGCACUAUGAAUAUGAAGUGGUUAUAAUAAUUAUUUUUCUUGCUCCGCCCUACUCGUUAUAUAAAGUUAUUAUUUUACCCUAUAUAUUUGUUGAUACAACAUAUAAUAAGGGAGGAAGAUAAGGAGGAGGUCAAGAUGGUGCAAUGGAGGCCAAUUCACCUAAAGAGGUUGAGAACUGAAACAAGAACAAAAUGACAAACUAACCAAGAAGACAAUUGCUUAGUAACUCUAGAGUGCUAACAAAAAGGAUCUUUUUGCAUAAUUCCUUAGAAUAUUUUCUCUUGCCCACUGAUAUGACAUGGCCAGAUAAACAUUCAAUCCUGCAAAAUGUGUAAAGGAUAUUUAUAAGCGUAUAUCAUAGGACCUUAUCAGUACGAGAUUAUUGUGCCUAAAUGAACUCUUUAUCACAUAAAGAGUGCAUUCAUACUAAGAGAAUGUUAAUACUUUAAAACGGGUGGGUGGAUGGUUCCAUCUAAGAGGAAUGAGUGGUCUAUUGAAGCGUUACUUCAAAUGAAGUCAACAAGAGGUCUAUGAUGCAACUGAUAUUGAUACGUGUUCAAGUGACGGAGGGGUAUAGCAACAUUAAAAGAGUAAAAAUAUAAAAAUAUGUUUGAACCUAGAAUUACAUAGUUAAGACUUAAUGGUUUCUGGCAAUGUUUUCAUAAUCGAACCCGAUCAGACCACCAAUUUUUAAUUUAAUUGAUUCAACUGAUUAAAUCAAUCGAUUCAAUAAAAAUUAAAUUAUAAAUAUAAAAUCCAAUUAUUUAUAAAUUUUAAAAUCUCAUUAUUAAAGUUUUGUUAAUUCCACUUUAAGAUUAUAUAUAUAUAGCCUAUUGAUUAAAAAUUUAUAAAUCCACCUUUAAAGAACUUAAAAGUUCCUUGCGAAUAUGCAACUCAUCUCUUUGACUCUUUAGACUUAUAAAUUUCUCUUCCACUUUCUUUUUGUCAUUCCCUCUUCUCAUUUAUUCUAACUAUUCCUUAAAAUACCCAAAUCUCUUUCGUAUCAUAUCAAAUCUCAUGUUUUUCUUUUUCUUUCUUUACAUAAAAAAAAUAUUAUUCUAAUCGAUUUUUUUUCAAGUUUCUAAACCCUGUUUAAUUGAGUUUUAAUUAGUUUAUAACAGUUUACUUGUUAUCUAUUUUAAUAAAGAGUGUUGAUUGAUCAUAUUUAUCAAUUUUUAAUCCAGUCAAUUUAAUUUUGAUAACAUUAAUUUUUGAUUUCUAGUUGCUGAUAUAAGAAAAUAAAGAUAAAUUAAUUGUUAGGGAAUUUUUAAUUUUUAAGGUAAAUUUUUCAUUCCUUUUUACUUGGGAGGUUGUCCCAAGUAAUCAAAAUUAUGUUUAAAAUAUUAAAAAUAAUUAAGAAAAAUCAAAAUGAAACAACGUAUGGUAAAAUGAGAAUGGAUAUAUUUAAUAAAUUAUAAAAUUAAAUAUUUAUGAUGGAACGAAAUAGAUAAUAAAAUAAUUAAGAUUUAACAAUAUUUGCUAGGUGUUGUUACAUUUUCAUCCCAAUGGAGAGCAAUGUUAUGUUGGCUUUACUUUUUGGACCAACAAUUGAGAAGUGGCUUGGGAUUUUUUUUUUUUUUUCUUCAGAAAUGGUGCAUGAAAGUGUUGGUGAAAAUGGUUAAAUUGGCUAAAUCAUGUGACAGUGUCGGUGGUCCUUAUUACAAUUAUGUAAUAAAUAAUUGCAGUCACGUGACAUGCAAUAAAUAUGUAAUCUUUCUGACAAGUUUUAAAAGUACGAGUUUGACAAUGUUGUCAUUAAUUGCAGGCUGAUUUGAUGCAAAUGCAAUUUUUUAUUUAUAAUAAUUGUCUCUGGUGCUCAAUCUUUUAGAAUAUCUUGAAUCUCCAUUAGGGUUAUCAAACAUAUGUAAAACUUCAAGAGUAACAAUGUCUAUAAUUUUAUUAUUCUCUUUAAGAGUAUAUCUUAAUGACCAUUUCUUUUCGUUAGAAAAGAUAUGUUAAAUUCUCCUAAUUAAAGUAGAGUUAGUUUUUUUAGGCUUAUUACCACUAAUAGUUGCUAUAAUUUUGAUGCUAUCAAAAUAAAUGGUAAUAUCAUAAUAUUUUUGUUUUUUAAGCAUGUGUAAGUUAUCUAAUAUGUCCCAAAGCUCAGCAGCUACAACCGAACGCUUCCCCAAAAAAUGAUUAUUCCUAGAAUCUAAUUUCCCUUCCCAUUACAUAUUACUCCACCUGCAGCAGAAAAACCAGAAAUCGAAUUAACGACGCCUUUAGUAUUAAGAAAAAAACCCAUAUCUAAUUUUGAACGUUCAGAAGACUGUUGCGGAUCCUUCACCAAGACUUCAUUAUUGAUUAAGGAAUAUUGCUUUGCCCAACUGUAAGAAACCUUAAUAAUUUCCUCCAGAUUCAUUGAUUUUCCUUAGAAGAUGAACAGGUUACGGUUUUUCUAAAUGCAACCAAAGUAUUAUCCCGAAUAAGCAAGCCCAAACCAAAUCUCUCGUGUUAUUAUCUGAUUGGUCCUGUAGAUUCGAGAGCAACCAUUCUGAAAUAUUACCUCUAAAGAUUCAUUUAUUUUGAUUGGGGAAAAUGAUUUGAGUCCAAAUAUCCUUUGAACAUGGACAUCCCCUAAGAACCAGUAAAAUAUCCUCCGUAUAAUGACCACAAAGAUGACACAACUCAUCGUGACCAAUUCCCCUUCGAACCCUUUCAGAGUUGGUUAAAAGUCUUUGAUUUAGGAUUAUCCAGAUGAACAUGUGACGGUGUACUAAUGGAGCCCGUGGAAGGGACAAAAGAAAGAGGGUACAUAGUGGAUUGGGCUCCACAGGAAGAUGUCUUGGCCCAUGGGGCUAUCGGUGGGUUUUAAACUCAUAGCGGACGGAAUUCGACUUUGGAGAGCGUGACAGCAGGGGUGCCCAUGAUUUGUUGGCCUUGCUUUGCUGACCAACAAUUGAACAGUAGGUUUGUGGAGGAAGUGUGGAAAUUAGGAUUAGAUAUGAAGGAUGUGUGUGAUAGAAGAGUUGUGGAGCAAAUGGUGAAUGAUUUAAUGGUGGAAAAAAGGGAGGAGAUUUUGAAAUCAGCUGCUGAAUUUGCUAAAUUGGCUAAAGGAUCUGUGAAUGUUGGUGGGUCUUCGUAUUGUAAUUUGGACUGUAAUUGAGGACAUAAGAAUGAUGAAUAAAAAUUGUUAAAAAAGUGAAAUUUUGAGAUAGGGACAACAAAAUGAGGGGCCUUUCCCAUCCCCACUUUUUUUAUUAAAUUAUUUCCUAGGUUCCUGCUAAUUUCGAAUUAAACAAUUUGACCCUAAUUUCUUUAAUUACCUCUUGCAUCCUUGUCAACUUUCAAAUUAAUAAUCGUAUUUCUUUACUUUUAUACUAAUAUAUGAUUUUCAAUUGAUAAGAUAUAAAAUAAUCACUAAACUAUUCGAAAGUUUUUAUUUAAUUCAUUAGUUUUAAGUUUGGUUGACGUGCUCCAAACAACAAUUCGACGAAUAGUAUGGUAGAUCAGUACCCAUCAAGAAAUAGAAGAACAUACCUUAGAUCCAAUUCGAUCUGGUAGUCAGUGUUGGAGAUCGAAGAAGAAAGUUAUUUGGAUUUUGGUUUGUAGAUAUGAAAAGAAAUUGAACCAUACAAGAAAAGGGGAAAUAAAGUUUUCAAUUGGUGCAAGCGAUGCGAACAGAGAAAACCAUACAACAACGAUUUUAACUAUUCAGUAACUUAAAUAAAAACUUUAAAUAAUUUUAUGACUAUUUUAUAACUUUCUGAAUUCGAGUGACUAUAAAUUAACUAGUAAUUUUUAUUUAUGUUUUUGAAGCCUAUAUUAUUUUCAUUCUAAGCUUUUGUUUAUGGUUUUGAAGGUUUUAUUUGGUGUAAUAUUUUAAUUAUGCUCAACAAUUUCAAUAAUAUUAAUUUACAUUAAUUACAUGAAAUAAAAAAAUACUUUUAAUGAAAAAUAAAUAAAUAAAAUCAUUAAUUAACUUACUUUAAAUGGGUGCGUUCAAAAUAAAUAUUAGAAAACAAAAAUAAUAUUAUAACCAUAUUUUCUCUUAAAUUUUAAAAAAAUUAAAACAAAAUUAAUUUUCCAGCCCCAAUAAAUCAUAAUACAACUUUUAAAUAAACUUUUAGAUUUGUUUUUUAAUAAUUUCUCAUAUUCCGAAAAUAAAUAUCACAUCAAGCAUUUUAAAAAAAGAUAAAAUAUAUUAAUUUCAAAAAGAAAGGAAAAGUCAUUAAGAAUAUAAGCUUAUGCGUCACACAUCGAAUCACGUGUCUUUUAGGAAAAGAGUAAUGAUCUCAUAACAAGUGGUAUCAAAGCAAUCAUUGACUGCCCAAUUUCACAAUAAGCUUCUCAGAAAGUGGAAUGAUAUAGUGGACCAACUAUGACACAGUAGCUUGUGACUAGGACGUCACGAGAUUGAAUAGGAGAGAAUGUCACACCAAAUGCUUUAAAGUAGGCAAGUUGCCAUAAUUCCACAUUGGAAUGGAAAUGGAAAAUAAGGUCAUUGAGGAUAGGUAUAUGGGCGCAGCUAGAGGGGCUAAUAGUGGCUUUAAUCCCCUUAAAAUGAAUCUUUUUUUUAUGUAGGUCUUUUAAAAUUUUAAAUUAUUAGAAAUAAAAUAUACUUUAACCCUUUAAAAAUGAUAAAAUUUUAAUUUAAUCUUUUAAAAAUUAUAAAAAUAUAAAGUAUUAAAGAUAAUAAAAUUAUAUUUUUAUUAUUAUAAAAAUUAUAAUUUAAUUUCAACCCGAAAAAGAAUUUCUAAAUUCACCCUUGGACAGAUAAGAGCCUAAUUAGUUUCCUAAAAAUGAUAAAUAUAUCAUUUAUUUCUCAACUCAUAAAUUAAUAUAAUGGUCAAAUUAGACAACAAUUUCCACCCUAUCCAAAGACAUCUUUUGGCCAUUAAAUAGCUUCCAAAUUGUCGAUUCUUUAGCACAUAAACAGAUCCUCCAAUUAGAUGGAGCAGGAUAGAUCCUCUCAAUCCCGUCCUCCUCAUGUCCUCGUCUUCCCCCUCCCAUUACAAGGCCAUAUAAACUCCAUGAUUAAGCUAGCUGAACUGCUAGCUAUCGCCGGCUUCAAGCUCACUUUCCUCAACUCCCACCACAACCAUGAACGCUUGGUCAAGUUCAACAAUAUUGCUGCCCAUUCUGAAAGAUACCCAGGGUUCCAAUUCAAGACCAUAACCGAUGGCCUCCCUCUUAAUCAUCCUAGGUCAGGGAGCUGGUUCCUUGAUAUGUUUGAAGAUACCAUGGAACUUAAGAUGAAGGAAAGUUUGAGAGAGGUACUUGUGAAUAGUAGCCCACCAGUAGAUUGCAUAAUUGGAGAUGGGUUUUUAGGCUUUGCUCUUGAUGUUGCAAAGGAGCUUGGAAUCCCCAUUAUUUUUUUUCGUACCAGCAGUCCUUGUUGUUUCUGGGUUUAUCAUUCUAUCCCUGAUAUAAUCCAAGCUGGGGAGCUUCCUAUCAAUGGUAAAUCCAUUUCUUUUCAUCAACUUGUUUAUUGUACCAUGUUUAGCACUGUUUUUAAUUUAGAAUAACACAAAUAAAACCUUAAGUCGAAAUGAUUUUACAAGCAUGUUGAAGAAAUUAACAAGAAAGACGUUUGGAAUAUUCCUGUUAAUUAGGCGAGUUGAUUUGGUUUAAGUUGGAUUAAAUCGGAAUUUAAAAAUUUUAAAUCAUUUCAUGUUUGAAUGAUUUUGAGUUUCAAUUUUUUUUAAGAGGUUUGGAUUGUUUCCAGUUAAAAUCAUUUUGGGUUCUUGUCAUUUAGAUUUACUAAUUUAACUUUUAAAUUUGAGUUAUUUUGGGUCAUUUUGUUUCCGGGUCACUUUAGGUUAGCUAGCUGGGUUUUUUGUUUCAAUUUUCAAGUUGAAUCAUUUCAGGAUUGUUUUCAUUCGGGUUUAAUACUUAAGUUUGGACCACUUUGGGUAACUUGUUCCCGUUGUUUUUAAGUUCGAGUCGUUUAAAGUUGGGAUCAUGUUUGAGCUUAGAUCAUUUUGAAUUUGAGUUGUUAAAUUUCUAUGAUUAAAUAAAUUUGAAUCUGAUUUGAGUUUGAAUUAAUUGGGCUUGUGAUCAUUGACACUAGUAAAUGGGUUUUUGUUAAACAAUUGAAGGAAGUGAAGACAUGGACCGGUUAAUAACGACAGUGCCAGGCAUGGAAACUUAUCUUCGAUGUCGAGAUCUUCCUACUUUUUGUCGAAAACUGGACAUUGAAGAUUCAAGUAUGAAGCUAGUUGUAAAACAGACUCGAAAGAGCCUUCAAGCCGAUGCCUUGAUACUCAACACCGCCGAAGAGCUUGAUGGGCCUAUACUAUCUCAAAUACGCACCAAAUGCCCUCGUGUCUAUGCCGUUGGACCCUUACAUGCUCAAUUAAACACUAGACUCAAUGCAAAACAUGGAGAAUCAUAUGAUCACUUCUCGAAUACACUUUGGGAAGUGGAUAAAAGCUGCAUCUUUUGGCUCAAUAAGCAACCGAAUCGAUCUGUUAUCUAUGUAAGUUUUGGUAGCAUUACGAGCACGUCAAGGGAGCAACUUGUAGAGCUUUGGUAUGGACUUCUUAACAGUAAAACGAAGUUCUUGCUUGUUGUAAGGCCGAAUUCCGUCAUUGGAAAAGAUGGUGAAGGGGAGGAUGUUGUAAUGGAGCUUAUGGAGAAGAGUAAGGAUCGAGGUUACAUUGUAAAUUGGGCACCACAAGAGGCAGUCUUGAACCACCCGGCCAUUGGCGGGUUCUUUACGCAUAAUGGAGUCGACUUUAGAGAGCAUUGUCGCAGGGGUGCCUAUGAUUUGCUGGCCUCAGUUUGCUGACCAACACGUGAAUAGUAGGGUUGUGAGUGAGGUGUGGAAAAUAGGGUUGGAUAUGAAGGAUGUAUGUGAUAGCAAGAUAGUGG